Molecule: ribosomal RNA, 482 nt
Filed under: uncultured bacterium
Lineage: Bacteria
Description: partial 16S ribosomal RNA
Rfam family: Bacterial small subunit ribosomal RNA
Source: RNAcentral
AUUGAACGCUGGCGGCAUGCUUUACACAUGCAAGUCGAACGGUAACAGGCCGCAAGGUGCUGACGGGUGGCGAACGGGUGCGUAAUGCAUCGGAACGUGCCCAGUCGUGGGGGAUAACUACUCGAAAGAGUAGCUAAUACCGCAUACGAUCUAUGGAUGAAAGCGGGGGACCGUAAGGCCUCGCGCGAUUGGAGCGGCCGAUGUCAGAUUAGGUAGUUGGUGGGGUAAAGGCUCACCAAGCCAACGAUCUGUAGCUGGUCUGAGAGGACGACCAGCCACACUGGGACUGAGACACGGCCCAGACUCCUACGGGAGGCAGCAGUGGGGAAUUUUGGACAAUGGGCGCGAGCCUGAUCCAGCAAUGCCGCGUGCAGGAAGAAGGCCUUCGGGUUGUAAACUGCUUUUGUACGGAACGAAACGGCUCUGGUUAAUACCCGGGGCUAAUGACGGUACCGUAAGAAUAAGCACCGGCUAACUACGUG